RNAcentral lists this ribosomal RNA (253 nucleotides) under uncultured bacterium. RNAcentral describes it as "partial 16S ribosomal RNA". It matches the Rfam family "Bacterial small subunit ribosomal RNA", at positions 524 to 776 of the family's 1533-position model. The record is from RNAcentral.
UACGUAGGGGGCAAGCGUUGUCCGGAAUCAUUGGGCGUAAAGAGCGUGUAGGCGGUUCGGUAAGUCGGCUGUGAAAGUCCAGGGCUCAACCCUGGGAUGCCGGUCGAUACUGCCGGACUAGAGUUCGGAAGAGGCGAGUGGAAUUCCUGGUGUAGCGGUGAAAUGCGCAGAUAUCAGGAGGAACACCGGUGGCGAAGGCGGAUCUCUGGGCCGAUACUGACGCUGAGGAGCGAAAGCGUGGGGAGCGAACAGG